Molecule: long non-coding RNA, 1089 nt
Organism: Sarcophilus harrisii (Tasmanian devil)
Lineage: Eukaryota; Metazoa; Chordata; Mammalia; Dasyuromorphia; Dasyuridae
Exons: 4
Source: RefSeq, a predicted model, not a curated record
UUUCUACUUAUGGACAAGAAGUUUUCUAUAAAUCAGAUACCUAAAAUUGGUGAUUGAAAACAUCCAAUUCAUUUCUUGAUUAGAUUGUUGGGUCCAUCACCUUCUGGCAAGUGCAGUUUAAUAGCUAGGUUCACAUUUUUUAUGCUAGCCAUGUAUUUAAGAAAAAUUUUGGAGGACAUUGUACAUUUCAUUCUCAUUAAUUACAGGAAUAUAUAUCAGACCCAGAUGUGGAAAAGAAGCACAUUAUUAUUUUACCUGACUAUAGUACAAGGACACAAAAAACUUCUGAAAAUCCAAAUAUUCCAAAUCAGCUCCAAGCUCCGGAUACAUCAGACAAAGGUGCUGUAAGAAAAGGAAAGGAUAAAGAAGAAGAUAGCGAUUCUCCUUGGGAUUCAGAGGAAUAUAUAUCAGACCCAGAUGUGGAAAAAAAGCACAUUAUUAUUUUACCUGACUACAGUACAAGGACACAAAAUACUUCUGAAAAUCCAAAUAUUCCAAAUCAGCUCCAAGCUCCGGAUACAUCAGACAAAGGUGCUGUAAGAAAAGGAAAGGAUAAAGAAGAAGAUAGCGAUUCUCCUUGGGAUUCAGAGGUAUUAAUUCAUUUUGAAACUUCAAUCUUGAUUGUUUUUUUUUAAAUUACAUUUACGUUUAGUUAUUUACUAAUCAGUGCAAUUGCUCGGGUGGAAUUAGAAGGGGACUUUUCAAACUAGAAAGAUUUUGGAAAUAAUCUAGUACAACUGCCUUUUUAACAAGUCAGCUUAUGGUCGAACCAAGAAGACAAUUCAAUGGUCCUAACUUUCAGGACCUCAUGGUUUCCACUCUCCUCCUGAACACCUUAGCAAUUUCAAAGUUCCUCCCAGUCUGUUAUUCAAUGAACAAGUUUGAUAACAUUUUAUGCUCUUCUGAGUAUUAGGCUAUAUUCCAGAAAAGUAAGAGACUUUGGAGAAAUAGAAGCCUACUUCCCUACUCCAAUAUCAACUUACCUACAUAUUAAAGGAUAGGACAAAGGCAUCUAUGUUAGCUGAUGCUAUGGCCAAUUGCUAAGUAAAUUUCUGGAUAGCUUCUAUACACAAAGGUUUUGGCCCAUAC